This 207-nucleotide ribosomal RNA is filed under the name uncultured bacterium. Its description in RNAcentral is "partial 16S ribosomal RNA". It matches the Rfam family "Bacterial small subunit ribosomal RNA", at positions 568 to 774 of the family's 1533-position model. The record is from RNAcentral.
UACGUAGGUGGCUAUUCAAGUCGGUGGUGAAAUUCCGAGGCUCAACUUCGGCGCUACCACCGAUACUGUUUAGCUUGAGUGCAGGAGGGGUAAGUGGAAUUCCUAGUGUAGCGGUGGAAUGCGUAGAUAUUAGGAGGAACACCAGUGGCGAAGGCGACUUACUGGACUGUAACUGACACUGAAGUACGAAAGCGUGGGGAGCAAACA